This 881-nucleotide ribosomal RNA is filed under the name uncultured bacterium. Its description in RNAcentral is "bacterial SSU rRNA". It matches the Rfam family "Bacterial small subunit ribosomal RNA", at positions 1 to 917 of the family's 1533-position model. The record is from RNAcentral.
AAGCAGAAAAUCAAGAGAGCCGAUGACGGCCUUGGUUUUUCUAGGCUCUAGGUUCUGUACUCUAGGUUCUAGGAAAGUAGCGGACGGGUGAGUAACGCGUGGACAACCAACCUAUCGGUGGGGAACAACCAUGAGAAAUCGUGGCUAAUACCGCAUACGGUCUUGAUGCGGCAUCGCAUUAAGAAGAAAGCAUUUAUGCGCCGGUAGACGGGUCCGCGUCUGAUUAGCCAGUUGGUGGGGUAAUGGCCUACCAAAGCAUCGAUCAGUAGCCGAUCUGAGAGGAUGACCGGCCACACUGGGACUGAGACACGGCACAGACUCCUACGGGAGGCAGCAGUGGGGAAUAUUGCGCAAUGGGGGAAACCAUGACGCAGCAACGCCGCGUGAAGGAAGAAGGCUUUCGGGUCGUAAACUUCAGACGCUAGUGAAGAAAAAAAUGACGGUAACUAGGCCGAAGCUCCGGCUAACUACGUGCCAGCAGCCGCGGUAAUACGUAGGGAGCAAGCGUUAUCCGGAAUUACUGGGCGUAAAGGGUGAGUAGGCGGCUAUGCAAGUCAUAUGCGAAAGGCAAGGGCUUAACCUUUGGACUGCAUAAGAAACUGUAUGGCUGGAGUGUGGGAGAGGCAAGCGGAAUUCCUAGUGUAGCGGUGAAAUGCGUAGAUAUUAGGAAGAACACCGGUGGCGAAGGCGGCUUGCUGGACCAUAACUGACGCUGAGGCACGAAAGCGUGGGGAGCGAACAGGAUUAGAUACCCUGGUAGUCCACGCCGUAAACGAUGAGAACUAGGUGUCGGCGCGAGAGCGUCGGUGCCGCAGCUAACGCAAUAAGUUCUCCGCCUGGGGAGUACGUUCGCAAGAAUGAAACUCAAAGGAAUUGACGGG